RNAcentral lists this ribosomal RNA (274 nucleotides) under uncultured bacterium. Its description in RNAcentral is "partial 16S ribosomal RNA". It matches the Rfam family "Bacterial small subunit ribosomal RNA", at positions 523 to 796 of the family's 1533-position model. The record is from RNAcentral.
AUACGGAGGGUGCGAGCGUUAAUCGGAAUUACUGGGCGUAAAGCGCGCGUAGGCGGUUUGUUAAGUCGGAUGUGAAAUCCCCGGGCUCAACCUGGGACCUGCAUCCGAUACUGGCAGGCUAGAGUCUGGUAGAGGGGGGUAGAAUUCCUGGUGUAGCGGUGAAAUGCGUAGAUAUCAGGGGGAAUACCAGUGGCGAAGGCGGCCCCCUGGACUGAGACUGACGCUGAGGUGCGAAAGCGUGGGGAGCAAACAGGAUUAGAAACCCUAGUAGUCC